CAAAAGCACAAGGUCCUGAGUUCAAUCCCCGGUACUAAAAAAAAAGAAAAGAAAAGAAAGAAAAAAAGAAAGAAAGAAAGAAAGAAAGAAAGAGAAAAAGAAAAAAUAUUAACUGUAUUUUUUCUCUCUAGCUACUUCCAUUCUUUUAUAUUCUCUCCAUUUAAAUAGUCUAUAUUUGUUACGCCACAGCUGGUGCCUGGACCACAAAAGGCUCUUCUCUGACUGUUAUUGUCUAACAGCAAAGUUGCCUAAGGAAAUAGAAUCAAAUAAAACUUCAGUGUUCUAACAAGACAGCUUCAUGGGUAGACAACACUGAAGAUAAGAAGAAUGUGUGGAAUGCGUGCCAGCCCAUAAUGAAGAAAUGACCUGAAGAGGGAAAAGACAGCUGCAGAAAGGGUCUCACUAUGCAGCUCAAACUGCCUAAAACUUACUGCAUAGCCAGGCAGGCCUCAAAUUCACAGUCCUCCUGCCUCAACCUCUUGAGUGCUGGGAUUUCAGUUUUGGAGGCUGAGAAAUCCAAAAUCAAGAGGUCAGCAAAUGCAGUCACCAUCUUCUCAUGUGUUCCACCUGGUGCAGAGCAGAGAGAAAAAUCGCCCUCCUCACCACCUGCGGAACAGAAGACAAAUGAUGCACCUUCACUCCAGCAUACUUAGAGGCAUUAUGAAUAAAGAGUCUACUAAGAAGGUUUAUCACGCCUCCCAGAAAAGUCAGCACACUACAAAUGCAGUGCAGUUUAUGGACUAUGAAUAGGAAACACUCUGAAAUUAAGUGAUAUAAACAAGCCAUACUUUAAACAAGAUGCUCUAAGCAUGCUAUACUAAAUGUAUACCAGUAUUUAUACUGAUCCAUUUAUUAACAUCCUGUGUGCUCAUCUUUCCACACUUACAUAAUUUACCAACAUUUGGUUUCAGUGAGGUCGCACAGUCCAUUAACUAUAUUUCUCAUUACUUUUCAUCAGCCAAUAAUAUUACCAUAGUCGUAAUACUUCCUGUACAUAGGUGAACUUUUCUUACAGCCCAUUUCUAUUUAAAGUUAUAACCACAACAAUUCAUGUGCAGACAGUUGUUGGAGCAGAAUUUCAUUUAAUUAUGUAAUUCUAAGUAGCUGAAGUAUAGUCAAGGUUCAUAAAAGGGAAAAUAAUCAGAGCAAGAAUAACCCAUCAGUGGUGGGUGUAAGAAUAAGGCAAUUAAGAUACUUGGCCCCUUCUGUGUGUAGAAGGCUGGAACACAUCUCUUCAUUUCUCGUUCCCCUGGUAUUUCCUCCUGUCAUAGACAGAAGGGCAAUUUAUUUCCCCUUACAUGGUGAGAAAGGUGAAGAAAUAAAGAAUGCAAAGGGCUGGGGAUUUAGCUCAGUGGUGCCGCUGCCUGCCUCGAAAGCACAGGGUCCUGAGUUUGAUCCCCAGUACCCCCCAAAAAGAAUGCAAUUUUAAAAUAGAUAUAAUAAAAGCCUUGCUACCUUCCUUGCUAAGGGUUAUGAAGUUCUGGUGAGGAACAUUUGAAAUUCCCUUGUAAACUGUAAAGGGAAAACCUUCUUCUGUGGCAGCCUUGCUUAAAAUCUGGCAGUGUCUUCCCUAGGACUUCAGGAUGAAGUUCAGAAUCUGUGUAUGCCUCAGUGAUCCUCCCUGACCUCAGCUCACACCUGCAGACAUCUCCUAUCUCUCAGUCACCUCCAGUGUUCCACAUACAUGACAAGCUUCCAUUCAUGCUCAUCCUUCUCUUUGUACCCUUACUUCUCUGUCCCUUACAUCUGUGUAGGUAUUCCUCCUCCAUGUCCCCUUCGAAACACAUGCUUUCUCUCAAGCAACACUUCCCAGCAGCAGCACCGUGGGCAUUCUGGACAGGACAGGAUUUUUUUUUUAAUUGAGGAGGGUUGGCAGGGCACUAUAGAGUGUUUAGCAGCAUCAGUGACCUCUAUCCACUAGAUGCCAGUAGCAGGCCCCUCAUUUUGACAACCACUUUCCCCAGAAACAAAUUGCAUUUGCUGAGAACCACUGCUCUAAGGUACAGCUUAUACUGGAACCAGUUGUAGUCUAACUAUAGCCAGAUGCUCACAAAAUGUACACACAAAUAAAAAUGCAGCUUUCUUUGUUAGUAGAGGACUGAUCUUGCUUUCAAGCCACCAAGCCACCAUCACACUGGUGAGAGAAAAUAUUUGAUCUGGCUAAUUGAAAGUAUCCUAUUCUUUUCUGGUUUAAAACCUUUUAUUGCAUGAAAAGUGAAGCAUUCCCCUCUGAAGUUUGAUUUCAUGUUUACUCAUAAACAGCAGCUGCUCUCAAAAGUUGUUCACUUAAUCCCUGGUACCAAAAAAAAAAAUUGUUCACUUUUCCUUGGCCUGGUGGCACAUGCCUGUAAUCCCAGCACUUAGAAGGCUGAAGCAGGAGGAUUGCUGUAAAUUCAAGGCCAGUCUGAACUACAUAGUGAGACCCUGUCUCAAAAAACAAACAAACAAAAGUUGUCCACUUCUGAGUAAUUGUGAGUUUGCCUCAGAGCACACAAAUGCUCUAAAGGGCUUUUUGUUUUAUGUCGUAGGAGAAGUGGGCAGAAUGAGCUGGAUGCUCAGAAGUUUGCAAGUUAAGCCAUGGAGCAGAAGCAGGGAGGGGACACUACAUCUGGUCUUCUCUCUGCCUAGAUCUAUUUCCAACUUAAAGUCUAAGCAGGGUGUUUUCAUUCAGCACCUUUCAAAGGACACUUGGAGUUUACCUAGCAUUUCCCCAGAGAUGACAGGAACAAAAUCCUACACGUCAAGAUCUCCCCAGAACUUUCCAGGUUAUUGAAGGUCUCUCUCCCUCCCUCAACUCUGGAAUGGAAGAAUGUGGAGGUAAACAAGCCCAGGUGGGUUGCCCCCUCCACCUUUCUCUGCCUCUCUUCUUUGAACCAAACAGGCUUUGUUUCCCCUUCUCUCCUUUCCCAGGAGGGAUUGCUCUAAUGUCAUAGCCUCUUCCUUCCCCAAAUGGCAUGUUCUGUUACCCUUUUCUGUAACCACAAAGGCAGAAAGAACCAAGCUCACUGAUGAGGGGGUAAUUCAAACUCCUUCAGUUAGCAUAUCUGUCUGAAAAUAUAUAGUCAUCUAUGUCCUCAUUUGUGUCCCUAGAAGGGCAGGAUUGUGCUUGCCUCACGGACUGUUAUAUCCCCACUACUUGGCAUGAUGCUGCUAUCAUAAGUUAACGAGAAUGCAGCAAGCUUGGAAUAACAAAAAUGUAUUAUCUCGUAGUUCCCAUGGAUUAGGAGUCAGGCAUGGCAUAACUUGGUCAUCUUCUUAGGUGACCUGUAUUCAAGAUGUCAACCACCAAGAGACAGGAUCUCAUCCGAGGCUCAAGGACUUUAUAUGGUUGUUGGCAGAAUCCAUUUCCCUGCCACUAUAGAGCAAUAGUGACUUGCUGCAAAGCAAGCAAGAGGCUCUUUCUGACACUUUCAGAGCUUUCAUUUGAUUUAGACUCAUCCAAGAUAAUUGCCCUUUUGAUUAGCUCAAAAUCAACUGAUUUGCAAAGCUUUUAACCUUUGCCAUAAAGCCCAAUCCAAUCACAGGUGCAGCAUUCAUCAUAUUUUCAGGUCCUGCCCACAGUGGAAGGAAACACAAAGAAUGAGUCAUUGAGAAUCAUCUUAGGACUCUGCCUGCUAUGGUACCUCAAAGGUUUGUUGAAUGAAUAAAUGAAAACAAGAAGAAAGAUAUGUACCCCAUUUGUCCUUACAAUAAUUCCAGGAUGUAGGCAGUAUCACAAAGGAUUUGCCUUUAUUCAAAGAGGUAGAAAUUGCAAGAUAGGCUGAAGACUAAGGUCUGUUUGAGUCCUCAGAAAAAUAUUCCCCUCAAACCUCAGCUGUGGUAUGCUGUGUGUGACCAGUGCCUUUCACACAAACAGGUUCAGCCCUUCUGCUCCCACUCUCAGGUUAGAGCCAGCCAUGAGGUGGAGCCACAGGCCCAUGAGUGCUUUCACUGUUCAUCCUCCCAAACACUGGGUCACCCACAGAAUGCAGAGGCCAGUCCUUGGAACUAGGGCUUCUGGGCACAAAGGAGAGCAAGGAUCAGCUUGCUCCUACCUAUAGGUUUUGCUCACAGCCCAACCCUAGAAAAAUUGGCACCUGCAGUAGAUACAGAGGGGAAUCUAGGGAGCCAUUUCUUUUUUUUUUUUUCCCUCCUUCCUCCUCUUAAGGGUAAGUUGGGCUCUGUGCUCUGGUGGGAAUAGGAUGUAGACAAGUUUCCAGACACAGAAAGGCAAGAAUCCUGGGCACCCCAGGGAGAGGUUAUUGGGUCAGUUUGGACAGCAAUGAUAGUGGGUUGUCAGUGGUGGUGGUACUGUGGUGGCUUUGUUUUGUUUUGUUUUUGUUUGUUUUGUACUAGAGAUUGAACCCUGGCCUCUGAACUGAGCUACACCCCAAUCUCUAUUUAUUUAUUUAUUUAUUUAUUUAUUUAUUUAUUUAUUUAUUGUUUUACUUUGAGAUAAGGUCUCUAAGUUGCACAGGCUGGGCUCAAACUUUCAAUCCUCCUGGCUCACCUUCAUAGAGAGCUGAGAUUACACCUGGCUCUUGGUGAUAGUGUUUCAUAUAUGUUAAAAGCAAAAGAAUUUGUAGAAGAAGAGUAACUUCUUCUUCUAUCUGUCUCUGAACCACUCCUGCUUGUGUCUCUUUGACUGUGCACCACAUAUUCUAUCACCUCUAUGUGUCUUCCCAUGGCCUCUUUUGCCUCCCUUCCCUUAAUUUUUCCUGGUUGUUUAUGAUCUUUAACAUGCAAUACUCUUUUUGUCUGCCUUUGUGAUGAUACAUUUACAUUUUUAUCACCUCCAGAUUCCAUAUUAAAGUCUCCCCCCAUCGUAAUAUAAUAUGCAUGAUGUCAAUCAUAUCUCUCCACAAUCUCACAGCAUGCCAGGCACAAAUCCAAGGCAGAUGAUAUUUGUUUGUAUAUUUUCAUAAGCCAUGUUAGGUUUUAAUUGCAAUGAAGCAAUAAAACAAAGAUAUGAAUACAUUAAUCUGUAGCUGGCGUCUUUGUCAUUCACUUCAUGUUGAGCUCCCCAUUGAAAUUCAGGCAUUUCUCCUCAUCAGUGGCUGUUCCUCAGUCAACUGAGAGCUUCUAAAACAAGUUAUCUGCAACUGUAUGCACAUCCAGCUCAUUCCAUCCCACUUCCUUUUCCUGAGAUAUAAAACAAAAUAAACUGCUAGGACAUUUUUGUGCAGAGAGGCAAACUUAUUGUUCACUCAGAAGUGAGCAACUUUGAGAGUAGCUGCUAUUCAUGAAUAGUCAUGAAAGAAAAUUUCAGAGAGGAACUUUGAGAUUUCCUACAAAUAAAUCUUCUAACUGCUACUUAUAUAGAGGCAAAAAUAAUAAAGAAUCCUCCAAAGUAUAGCCAAAUUGUUCAAAAGAAGCUUUUAUUGAUAAAAUAUGAACAUUUGAAGUGAAAGUGCCUGUUCUUAUUCUCUAAUCUUGUUCCCAAUAACCAUUCAUCCUGUUGAUUUCCCUUCCAGCAUCCAACUUGAUUAAAAUGGAAACAGGGGCCUGGGGUGUAGUUUAGUGGUAGAAUGCUUGCCUUGCAUGCAUGAGGCCUUAGAUUCAAUCUCCAGCACUACAAAAAAUAAAACCACAACAAAAUAAAAUUUAAAAACAAACAAAAAGUAAAAAAGGAACUGCAUGGAGACACAGAGACAGGAAAAAAUGCCGUCAUUUGUGGAAAUGAAAGCAGUCACACCUCAAGGUCAGAGAAAAUGGUUGGUGGUGGGAGAUAAAAGUCCAAACCUUAUCGCUGAUGGUCCUUUGCUAAGAAGUUUGGAUCAUCACAGACAACCUCUACACAGAGUGCCUCCUGUUGUGGACUGAAUGGUGACCACCCAAAAGUAUGGCCACAACCUAAGUUGUGAAUGUGACUUUAUUCUUUUUUUAAAAUUAAUUUUAUUGGUACAUUUUAGGUAUACAAUAUAAUGACAUUCAUCAUUGGAAAUCUGCACCUUUACAUAAUCUCUCUUGGUUCUUAUUUGUGAAUGUGACUUUAUUUGGAAAGAAGGUCUUCCCAGAUGUAAUUAAUUUAGAGAUCUUAAAUUCAUAUAAUCCUGGAUUAUUCACUUUAACCCUAAAUCCAAUGGCAAAUAUCUUUAAUAGGAGACAGAGGAGAAGACACAGACACAAGGGAGUUCAAGAGAACACAGAGGCAGAGAUUGGAGUGAUCCAGGCACAAACCAAGGAAGCUGACAGAGGCAAAGGACAGAAUCUCCUCUAGGACUUCCAGAGGGAGCAUGGACAUUCUGUGAACAACUUGAUUUCUGAUGUUUAGCCUUCAGAACAUAAGGGAAUAAAUUUAUGUUGCUGUAAGCCACCCAGUUUGUGGUCACUUGUUACUGCAGUCCUAGGAAACCAAUACCCUAUCCCAUAUACUAGCCUUCAUGGUGAUCUGCUACUCAUCUUUCACAUCCAGCUCAAGUAUGACAUUCUCUGUGAAGACUUCCUGAUGCUCCUAGGCAGAGGGAAUGCCCUCUCCGCUCUUACCUUGUGCAGGGUUUUUCACAGCGUCUAUCACAUUUGCCACGGGGUUUCUCCCAUUAUCCUAAUUUCAUUAUCUGGUGACACCCAGCUGUCUUUGUUCUUGGCACAAUUCCUAAACUUUUCAGGAACUAUCUUCAAAGAUCACCAGACCCCUUUGCAAAGGUGAGACUAAAAUCUUGGAACUCGGCCUCACACUGAAAUGAUCCUCCCACCCUCUCACACUUUUCUUACAAGAGUUUUGAAGUGAGGAUAAAAACAAAUUUAGAUUUGUUAUCUAAAGCUCUACCUGGAGCCAUGUGCCCUAUGUGCCUUUUUGCACAGCAGGGGCAACCUCUCCUUACCUUCUUCAACUCUUGCCAUCAGAAAUUGGCUCUCCUGGCUUUUCCUCACUGUGUUGCAGCAGCUCAUGAAAGCUGCACAGCUGCCUUCCUGGGAGAAAGGCCAGAAUUAAUCAUCUCACAUCUCUAAUAAGAGGUUCAAUACAUAUGUGAGGCAAAAUUGACACAAAAAGAAUGGAAUUUUAUGAACUCUAAGAAAUGAUAGGUUCGCUUCCAAAAUCCCUUUCUACUUUGCAGUGCUGGGAUUUACUUCUCUGUCUUUCCCUGCCAGCUUCAGGGUCACUGGCUUCUGGAGCCUUCCUUUUAGAGUCCCCAUCCCAUCUGCUGACUCCAAUUGCUUUUCCCUGCUGUCAUUCUAUUCUGUCUCAGGACUUAUUCUGAAAUGCAAGCUCUGCAGAGCAAAAUGCCCAACAUCCCUAGGUAGCUAUUCAUCUAGUUUGGAUCAUGAAAGUUCCCCAAAGGUUCAUGUGUUAAAGGCUUGAUCCCCAGCCCAUGGCAUUAUUGAAG
This is a long non-coding RNA of Heterocephalus glaber (naked mole-rat), 7307 nucleotides long. The record is from Ensembl. Lineage: Eukaryota; Metazoa; Chordata; Mammalia; Rodentia; Bathyergidae.